UACGGAAGGCAGCAGUGGGGAAUAUUGCACAAUGGGCGCAAGCCUGAUGCAGCCAUGCCGCGUGUAUGAAGAAGGCCUUCGGGUUGUAAAGUACUUUCAGUCGUGAGGAAGGUGUUAAGGUUAAUAACCUUAGCAAUUGACGUUAGCGACAGAAGAAGCACCGGCUAACUCCGUGCCAGCAGCCGCGGUAAUACGGAGGGUGCGAGCGUUAAUCGGAAUUACUGGGCGUAAAGGGCACGCAGGCGGUUAAUUAAGUUGGAUGUGAAAUCCCCGGGCUUAACCUGGGAAUGGCAUUCAAGACUGGUUAGCUAGAGUCUUGUAGAGGGGGUAGAAUUCCAUGUGUAGCGGUGAAAUGCGUAGAGAUGUGGAGGAAUACCGGUGGCGAAGGCGGCCCCUGGCAAAGACUGACGCUCAUGUGCGAAAGCGUGGGGAGCAAACAGGGAUUAGAUA
Molecule: ribosomal RNA, 450 nt
Filed under: uncultured bacterium
Lineage: Bacteria
Description: bacterial SSU rRNA
Rfam family: Bacterial small subunit ribosomal RNA
Source: RNAcentral